Long non-coding RNA from Dreissena polymorpha, 250 nucleotides. RefSeq lists it as uncharacterized. Lineage: Eukaryota; Metazoa; Mollusca; Bivalvia; Myida; Dreissenidae. The transcript has 2 exons. The record is from RefSeq and is a predicted model, not a curated record.
CUCGAUUCCUUUGUUCACUGACCUACUGGCUAAUUGGAUUUUCAAAAUGUGCUGUUAUAGAACGUAAACUUAUUUUGUUCAAUAAUAAAAGAAAUUGGGACCUACAAUCGACGGUAAACAACAGUUUGCGAGGACAACUGGGAAAACACACGAACGGAUCCGGAUUCAAGACAAAAAAGAACAACAAUUCGAUGAUGUGUAUUUGCAUUUGCAUAAAUUACAUUCAUGCAAUAAACUUGUGUAGAAUAAA